GGUGGCUCAGUGAUUGUUGCCAAUCAGAUUUGGUCAUAUACGCUAUUCUGAUUUCUAUUGGUGAAAAAGAAAAUUUAUGAGAGCUGCU
This 88-nucleotide small nucleolar RNA is filed under the name Oryza sativa (Asian cultivated rice). RNAcentral's name for it is "U54d small nucleolar RNA". It matches the Rfam family "Small nucleolar RNA U54". Rfam says of the family: U54 is a C/D box small nucleolar RNA, which acts as a methylation guide for 18S ribosomal RNA in plants. The record is from RNAcentral. Lineage: Eukaryota; Viridiplantae; Streptophyta; Magnoliopsida; Poales; Poaceae.